GAUGAACGCUAGCUACAGGCUUAACACAUGCAAGUCGAGGGGUCUGCUUCGGCAGACGACCGGCGCACGGGUGAGUAACGCGUAUCCAACCUGCCCUUCAUAUUGGGAUAGCCUCUCGAAAGGGAGAUUAAUACCGAAUAACAUGAAAAGAUUGCCUGAUUUUUUCAUGAAAGCUCCGGCGAUGAAGGAUGGGGAUGCGUUCCAUUAGGUAGUAGGCGGGGUAACGGCCCACCUAGCCGACGAUGGGAUAGGGGGUUCUGAGAGGAAAGGUCCCCCCANACUGGAACUGAGACACGGUCCAGACUCCUACGGGAGCAGCAGUGAGGAAUAUUGG
Molecule: ribosomal RNA, 334 nt
Filed under: uncultured bacterium
Lineage: Bacteria
Description: bacterial SSU rRNA
Rfam family: Bacterial small subunit ribosomal RNA
Source: RNAcentral